This 2327-nucleotide ribosomal RNA is filed under the name Escherichia coli. RNAcentral's name for it is "bacterial LSU rRNA". It matches the Rfam family "Bacterial large subunit ribosomal RNA", at positions 449 to 2925 of the family's 2925-position model. The record is from RNAcentral. Lineage: Bacteria; Pseudomonadati; Pseudomonadota; Gammaproteobacteria; Enterobacterales; Enterobacteriaceae.
GGGACCAUCCUCCAAGGCUAAAUACUCCUGACUGACCGAUAGUGAACCAGUACCGUGAGGGAAAGGCGAAAAGAACCCCGGCGAGGGGAGUGAAAAAGAACCUGAAACCGUGUACGUACAAGCAGUGGGAGCACAGAGCAAUCUGUGUGACUGCGUACCUUUUGUAUAAUGGGUCAGCGACUUAUAUUCUGUAGCAAGGUUAACCGAAUAGGGGAGCCGAAGGGAAACCGAGUCUUAACUGGGCGUUAAGUUGCAGGGUAUAGACCCGAAACCCGGUGAUCUAGCCAUGGGCAGGUUGAAGGUUGGGUAACACUAACUGGAGGACCGAACCGACUAAUGUUGAAAAAUUAGCGGAUGACUUGUGGCUGGGGGUGAAAGGCCAAUCAAACCGGGAGAUAGCUGGUUCUCCCCGAAAGCUAUUUAGGUAGCGCCUCGUGAAUUCAUCUCCGGGGGUAGAGCACUGUUUCGGCAAGGGGGUCAUCCCGACUUACCAACCCGAUGCAAACUGCGAAUACCGGAGAAUGUUAUCACGGGAGACACACGGCGGGUGCUAACGUCCGUCGUGAAGAGGGAAACAACCCAGACCGCCAGCUAAGGUCCCAAAGUCAUGGUUAAGUGGGAAACGAUGUGGGAAGGCCCAGACAGCCAGGAUGUUGGCUUAGAAGCAGCCAUCAUUUAAAGAAAGCGUAAUAGCUCACUGGUCGAGUCGGCCUGCGCGGAAGAUGUAACGGGGCUAAACCAUGCACCGAAGCUGCGGCAGCGACGCUUAUGCGUUGUUGGGUAGGGGAGCGUUCUGUAAGCCUGUGAAGGUGUGCUGUGAGGCAUGCUGGAGGUAUCAGAAGUGCGAAUGCUGACAUAAGUAACGAUAAAGCGGGUGAAAAGCCCGCUCGCCGGAAGACCAAGGGUUCCUGUCCAACGUUAAUCGGGGCAGGGUGAGUCGACCCCUAAGGCGAGGCCGAAAGGCGUAGUCGAUGGGAAACAGGUUAAUAUUCCUGUACUUGGUGUUACUGCGAAGGGGGGACGGAGAAGGCUAUGUUGGCCGGGCGACGGUUGUCCCGGUUUAAGCGUGUAGGCUGGUUUUCCAGGCAAAUCCGGAAAAUCAAGGCUGAGGCGUGAUGACGAGGCACUACGGUGCUGAAGCAACAAAUGCCCUGCUUCCAGGAAAAGCCUCUAAGCAUCAGGUAACAUCAAAUCGUACCCCAAACCGACACAGGUGGUCAGGUAGAGAAUACCAAGGCGCUUGAGAGAACUCGGGUGAAGGAACUAGGCAAAAUGGUGCCGUAACUUCGGGAGAAGGCACGCUGAUAUGUAGGUGAAGUCCCUCGCGGAUGGAGCUGAAAUCAGUCGAAGAUACCAGCUGGCUGCAACUGUUUAUUAAAAACACAGCACUGUGCAAACACGAAAGUGGACGUAUACGGUGUGACGCCUGCCCGGUGCCGGAAGGUUAAUUGAUGGGGUUAGCGCAAGCGAAGCUCUUGAUCGAAGCCCCGGUAAACGGCGGCCGUAACUAUAACGGUCCUAAGGUAGCGAAAUUCCUUGUCGGGUAAGUUCCGACCUGCACGAAUGGCGUAAUGAUGGCCAGGCUGUCUCCACCCGAGACUCAGUGAAAUUGAACUUCUCUGGGAUGCGGACAGUGUCUGGUGGGUAGUUUGACUGGGGCGGUCUCCUCCUAAAGAGUAACGGAGGAGCACGAAGGUUGGCUAAUCCUGGUCGGACAUCAGGAGGUUAGUGCAAUGGCAUAAGCCAGCUUGACUGCGAGCGUGACGGCGCGAGCAGGUGCGAAAGCAGGUCAUAGUGAUCCGGUGGUUCUGAAUGGAAGGGCCAUCGCUCAACGGAUAAAAGGUACUCCGGGGAUAACAGGCUGAUACCGCCCAAGAGUUCAUAUCGACGGCGGUGUUUGGCACCUCGAUGUCGGCUCAUCACAUCCUGGGGCUGAAGUAGGUCCCAAGGGUAUGGCUGUUCGCCAUUUAAAGUGGUACGCGAGCUGGGUUUAGAACGUCGUGAGACAGUUCGGUCCCUAUCUGCCGUGGGCGCUGGAGAACUGAGGGGGGCUGCUCCUAGUACGAGAGGACCGGAGUGGACGCAUCACUGGUGUUCGGGUUGUCAUGCCAAUGGCACUGCCCGGUAGCUAAAUGCGGAAGAGAUAAGUGCUGAAAGCAUCUAAGCACGAAACUUGCCCCGAGAUGAGUUCUCCCUGACUCCUUGAGAGUCCUGAAGGAACGUUGAAGACGACGACGUUGAUAGGCCGGGUGUGUAAGCGCAGCGAUGCGUUGAGCUAACCGGUACUAAUGAACCGUGAGGCUUAACCUUACAACGCCGAAGCUGUU